UCCAGACUCCUACGGGAGGCAGCAGUGGGGAAUAUUGGGCAAUGGGCGCAAGCCUGACCCAGCAACGCCGCGUGGGUGAAGGAGCGUUUCGGCGCGUAAAGCCCUAUCGGCAGGGAAGAAGGAGGACGGUACCUGACUAAGAAGCCCCGGCUAACUACGUGCCAGCAGCCGCGGUAAUACGUAGGGGGCAAGCGUUAUCCGGAUUUACUGGGUGUAAAGGGGGCGCAGACGGCAGCGCAAGCCAGGAGUGAAAGCCCGGGGCCCAACCCCGGGACUGCUCUUGGAACUGCGCGGCUGGAGUGCAGGAGGGGCAGGCGGAAUUCCUGGUGUAGCGGUGAAAUGCGUAGAUAUCAGGAGGAACACCGGUGGCGAAGGCGGCCUGCUGGACUGCGACUGACGUUGAGGCCCGAAAGCGUGGGGAGCAAACAGGAUUAGAUACCCCCGUA
RNAcentral lists this ribosomal RNA (446 nucleotides) under uncultured bacterium. RNAcentral's name for it is "partial 16S ribosomal RNA". It matches the Rfam family "Bacterial small subunit ribosomal RNA", at positions 330 to 792 of the family's 1533-position model. The record is from RNAcentral.